UGCAAGUCGAACGAGUUCUCGUUGAUGAUCGGUGCUUGCACCGAGAUUCAACAUGGAACGAGUGGCGGACGGGUGAGUAACACGUGGGUAACCUGCCCUUAAGUGGGGGAUAACAUUUGGAAACAGAUGCUAAUACCGCAUAGAUCCAAGAACCGCAUGGUUCUUGGCUGAAAGAUGGCGUAAGCUAUCGCUUUUGGAUGGACCCGCGGCGUAUUAGCUAGUUGGUGAGGUAAUGGCUCACCAAGGCGAUGAUACGUAGCCGAACUGAGAGGUUGAUCGGCCACAUUGGGACUGAGACACGGCCCAAACUCCUACGGGAGGCAGCAGUAGGGAAUCUUCCACAAUGGACGCAAGUCUGAUGGAGCAACGCCGCGUGAGUGAAGAAGGCUUUCGGGUCGUAAAACUCUGUUGUUGGAGAAGAAUGGUCGGCAGAGUAACUGUUGUCGGCGUGACGGUAUCCAACCAGAAAGCCACGGCUAACUACGUGCCAGCAGCCGCGGUAAUACGUAGGUGGCAAGCGUUAUCCGGAUUUAUUGGGCGUAAAGCGAGCGCAGGCGGUUUUUUAAGUCUGAUGUGAAAGCCCUCGGCUUAACCGAGGAAGCGCAUCGGAAACUGGGAAACUUGAGUGCAGAAGAGGACAGUGGAACUCCAUGUGUAGCGGUGAAAUGCGUAGAUAUAUGGAAGAACACCAGUGGCGAAGGCGGCUGUCUGGUCUGUAACUGACGCUGAGGCUCGAAAGCAUGGGUAGCGAACAGGAUUAGAUACCCUGGUAGUCCAUGCCGUAAACGAUGAAUGCUAGGUGUUGGAG
Molecule: ribosomal RNA, 808 nt
Filed under: Lacticaseibacillus casei
Lineage: Bacteria; Bacillati; Bacillota; Bacilli; Lactobacillales; Lactobacillaceae
Description: bacterial SSU rRNA
Rfam family: Bacterial small subunit ribosomal RNA
Source: RNAcentral